CGUAGGGGCGAAGCGUUAUCCGGAUUACUGGGUGUAAAGGAGCGUAGACGGCUGUGCAAGUCUGAAGUAGAAAGGACAUGGGCUCAACCUGUGGACUGCUUUGGAAACUGUGCAGCUAGAGUGUCGGAGAGGUAAGUGGAAUUCCUAGUGUAGCGGUGAAAUGCGUAGAUAUUAGGAGGAACACCAGUGGCGAAGGCGGCUUACUGGACGAUGACUGACGUUGAGGCUCGAAAGCGUGGGAGCAAACAGGAUU
This 253-nucleotide ribosomal RNA is filed under the name uncultured bacterium. Its description in RNAcentral is "partial 16S ribosomal RNA". It matches the Rfam family "Bacterial small subunit ribosomal RNA", at positions 526 to 779 of the family's 1533-position model. The record is from RNAcentral.